UUUUCGGCCCUACAGCUCGGAGUAGAGCAGUUUGGUAGCUCGCUCAUAACCUUGAGGCCAAAGGAAAAGAAAGCAAAAGCGAUUCUCGUAGUAGCGGCGAGCGAAAUGGGAGCAGCCUAAACUGUGAAAACGGGGGUGUGAGAGAGCAAUACAAGCAUUGUGCUGCUAGACAAAGCGGUUGAGUGCCGCACCCUAGAUGGCUAAAGUCUAGUAGCCGAAAGCAUCACUAGCUUACGCUCURACCCGAGUAGCAUGGGGCACGUGGAAUCCCGUGUGAAUYAGCAAGGACCACCUUGCAAGGCUAAAUACUCCUGGGUGACCGAUAGCGAAGUAGUACCGUGAGGGAAAGGUGAAAAGAACCCCGGGUGGGUAGUGGAAUAGAACGUGAAA
RNAcentral lists this non-coding RNA (390 nucleotides) under Dichanthelium oligosanthes. RNAcentral describes it as "Bacterial large subunit ribosomal RNA". It matches the Rfam family "Bacterial large subunit ribosomal RNA", at positions 153 to 555 of the family's 2925-position model. The record is from Rfam by way of RNAcentral. Lineage: Eukaryota; Viridiplantae; Streptophyta; Magnoliopsida; Poales; Poaceae.